RNAcentral lists this ribosomal RNA (633 nucleotides) under uncultured bacterium. RNAcentral's name for it is "bacterial SSU rRNA". It matches the Rfam family "Bacterial small subunit ribosomal RNA", at positions 56 to 735 of the family's 1533-position model. The record is from RNAcentral.
UGCAAGUCGAACGAGAUCUUCGGGUCUAGUGGCGCACGGGUGCGUAACGCGUGGGAAUCUGCCCUUUGGUUCGGAAUAACAGUUGGAAACGACAGCUAAUACCGGAUGAUGACGAAAGUCCAAAGAUUUAUCGCCAGAGGAUGAGCCCGCGUAGGAUUAGCUAGUUGGUGUGGUAAAGGCGCACCAAGGCGACGAUCCUUAGCUGGUCUGAGAGGAUGAUCAGCCACACUGGGACUGAGACACGGCCCAGACUCCUACGGGAGGCAGCAGUGGGGAAUAUUGGACAAUGGGCGAAAGCCUGAUCCAGCAAUGCCGCGUGAGUGAUGAAGGCCUUAGGGUUGUAAAGCUCUUUUACCCGGGAUGAUAAUGACAGUACCGGGAGAAUAAGCUCCGGCUAACUCCGUGCCAGCAGCCGCGGUAAUACGGAGGGAGCUAGCGUUGUUCGGAAUUACUGGGCGUAAAGCGCACGUAGGCGGCUUUGUAAGUUAGAGGUGAAAGCCUGGAGCUCAACUCCAGAACUGCCUUUAAGACUGCAUCGCUUGAAUCCAGGAGAGGUGAGUGGAAUUCCGAGUGUAGAGGUGAAAUUCGUAGAUAUUCGGAAGAACACCAGUGGCGAAGGCGGCUCACUGGACU